This 465-nucleotide ribosomal RNA is filed under the name Vreelandella stevensii. Its description in RNAcentral is "partial 16S ribosomal RNA". It matches the Rfam family "Bacterial small subunit ribosomal RNA", at positions 338 to 795 of the family's 1533-position model. The record is from RNAcentral. Lineage: Bacteria; Pseudomonadati; Pseudomonadota; Gammaproteobacteria; Oceanospirillales; Halomonadaceae.
CCUACGGGUGGCUGCAGUGGGGAAUAUUGGACAAUGGGGGGAACCCUGAUCCAGCCAUGCCGCGUGUGUGAAGAAGGCCCUCGGGUUGUAAAGCACUUUCAGUGAGGAAGAACGCCUGGUGGUUAAUACCCAUCAGGAAAGACAUCACUCACAGAAGAAGCACCGGCUAACUCCGUGCCAGCAGCCGCGGUAAUACGGAGGGUGCGAGCGUUAAUCGGAAUUACUGGGCGUAAAGCGCGCGUAGGUGGCUUGAUGAGCCGGUUGUGAAAGCCCCGGGCUCAACCUGGGAACGGCAUCCGGAACUGUCAAGCUAGAGUGCAGGAGAGGAAGGUAGAAUUCCCGGUGUAGCGGUGAAAUGCGUAGAGAUCGGGAGGAAUACCAGUGGCGAAGGCGGCCUUCUGGACUGACACUGACACUGAGGUGCGAAAGCGUGGGUAGCAAACAGGAUUAGAUACCCGAGUAGUC